UGGGGAAUAUUGGACAAUGGGGGAAACCCUGAUCCAGCAAUGCCGCGUGAGUGAAGAAGGCCUUAGGGUUGUAAAGCUCUUUCGCCCGCGAAGAUAAUGACGGUACCCGCAGAAGAAGCCCCGGCUAACUCCGUGCCAGCAGCCGCGGUAAUACGGAGGGGGCUAGCGUUGUUCGGAAUUACUGGGCGUAAAGCGCACGUAGGCGGACUGUUUAGUCAGGGGUGAAAUCCCGGGGCUCAACCUCGGAAUUGCCUCUGAUACUGGCAGUCUCGAGUCCGGAAGAGGUGAGUGGAAUUCCGAGUGUAGAGGUGAAAUUCGUAGAUAUUCGGAGGAACACCAGUGGCGAAGGCGGCUCACUGGUCCGGUACUGACGCUGAGGUGCGAAAGCGUGGGGAGCAAACA
RNAcentral lists this ribosomal RNA (402 nucleotides) under uncultured bacterium. RNAcentral's name for it is "bacterial SSU rRNA". It matches the Rfam family "Bacterial small subunit ribosomal RNA", at positions 355 to 774 of the family's 1533-position model. The record is from RNAcentral.